RNAcentral lists this ribosomal RNA (253 nucleotides) under uncultured bacterium. RNAcentral's name for it is "partial 16S ribosomal RNA". It matches the Rfam family "Bacterial small subunit ribosomal RNA", at positions 524 to 776 of the family's 1533-position model. The record is from RNAcentral.
UACGUAGGGUGCGAGCGUUGUCCGGAAUUAUUGGGCGUAAAGGGCUCGUAGGCGGUUUGUCGCGUCGGGAGUGAAAACCUUGGGCUUAACUCAGGGCUUGCUUUCGAUACGGGCAGACUAGAGGUAUGCAGGGGAGAACGGAAUUCCUGGUGUAGCGGUGAAAUGCGCAGAUAUCAGGAGGAACACCGGUGGCGAAGGCGGAUCUCUGGGCCGUAACUGACGCUGAGGAGCGAAAGCAUGGGGAGCGAACAGG